GGUUAAGCGACUAAGCGUACACGGUGGAUGCCCUGGCAGUCAGAGGCGAUGAAGGACGUGCUAAUCUGCGAAAAGCGUCGGUAAGGUGAUAUGAACCGUUAUAACCGGCGAUGUCCGAAUGGGGAAACCCAGUGCAAUUCGUUGCACUAUCGUUAACUGAAUACAUAGGUUAACGAGGCGAACCGGGGGAACUGAAACAUCUAAGUACCCCGAGGAAAAGAAAUCAACCGAGAUUCCCCCAGUAGCGGCGAGCGAACGGGGAGCAGCCCAGAGUCUGAAUCAGCUUGUGUGUUAGUGGAACGGUCUGGAAAGUCCGACGGUACAGGGUGAUAGUCCCGUACACCAAAAUGCACAGGCUGUGAACUCGAAGAGUAGGGCGGGACACGUGGUAUCCUGUCUGAAUAUGGGGGGACCAUCCUCCAAGGCUAAAUACUCCUGACUGACCGAUAGUGAACCAGUACCGUGAGGGAAAGGCGAAAAGAACCCCGGCGAGGGGAGUGAAAAAGAACCUGAAACCGUGUACGUACAAGCAGUGGGAGCACCUUCGGGUGUGACUGCGUACCUUUUGUAUAAUGGGUCAGCGACUUAUAUUCUGUAGCAAGGUUAACCGUAUAGGGGAGCCGCAGGGAAACCGAGUCUUAACUGGGCGUUAAGUUGCAGGGUAUAGACCCGAAACCCGGUGAUCUAGCCAUGGGCAGGUUGAAGGUUGGGUAACACUAACUGGAGGACCGAACCGACUAAUGUUGAAAAAUUAGCGGAUGACUUGUGGCUGGGGGUGAAAGGCCAAUCAAACCGGGAGAUAGCUGGUUCUCCCCGAAAGCUAUUUAGGUAGCGCCUCGUGAAUUCAUCUUCGGGGGUAGAGCACUGUUUCGGCUAGGGGGUCAUCCCGACUUACCAACCCGAUGCAAACUACGAAUACCGAAGAAUGUUAUCACGGGAGACACACGGCGGGUGCUAACGUCCGUCGUGAAGAGGGAAACAACCCAGACCGCCAGCUAAGGUCCCAAAGUCAUGGUUAAGUGGGAAACGAUGUGGGAAGGCACAGACAGCCAGGAUGUUGGCUUAGAAGCAGCCAUCAUUUAAAGAAAGCGUAAUAGCUCACUGGUCGAGUCGGCCUGCGCGGAAGAUGUAACGGGGCUAAACCAUGCACCGAAGCUGCGGCAGCGACACUAUGUGUUGUUGGGUAGGGGAGCGUUCUGUAAGCCUGCGAAGGUGACCUGUGAGGGUUGCUGGAGGUAUCAGAAGUGCGAAUGCUGACAUAAGUAACGAUAAAGCGGGUGAAAAGCCCGCUCGCCGGAAGACCAAGGGUUCCUGUCCAACGUUAAUCGGGGCAGGGUGAGUCGACCCCUAAGGCGAGGCCGAAAGGCGUAGUCGAUGGGAAACAGGUUAAUAUUCCUGUACUUGGUGUUACUGCGAAGGGGGGACGGAGAAGGCUAUGUUAGCCGGGCGACGGUUGUCCCGGUUUAAGCAUGUAGGCUGGUUGUCCAGGCAAAUCCGGAUAAUCAAGGCUGAGGUGUGAUGACGAGGCACUACGGUGCUGAAGUAACAAAUGCCCUGCUUCCAGGAAAAGCCUCUAAGCAUCAGGUAACAUUAAAUCGUACCCCAAACCGACACAGGUGGUCAGGUAGAGAAUACCAAGGCGCUUGAGAGAACUCGGGUGAAGGAACUAGGCAAAAUGGUGCCGUAACUUCGGGAGAAGGCACGCUGGUGUGUAGGUGAAGUCCCUGCGGAUGGAGCUGAGACCAGUCGAAGAUACCAGCUGGCUGCAACUGUUUAUUAAAAACACAGCACUGUGCAAACACGAAAGUGGACGUAUACGGUGUGACGCCUGCCCGGUGCCGGAAGGUUAAUUGAUGGGGUUAUCCGUAAGGAGAAGCUCUUGAUCGAAGCCCCGGUAAACGGCGGCCGUAACUAUAACGGUCCUAAGGUAGCGAAAUUCCUUGUCGGGUAAGUUCCGACCUGCACGAAUGGCGUAAUGAUGGCCAGGCUGUCUCCACCCGAGACUCAGUGAAAUUGAACUCGCUGUGAAGAUGCAGUGUACCCGCGGCAAGACGGAAAGACCCCGUGAACCUUUACUAUAGCUUGACACUGAACAUUGAGCCUUGAUGUGUAGGAUAGGUGGGAGGCUUUGAAGCGUGGACGCCAGUCUGCGUGGAGCCAACCUUGAAAUACCACCCUUUAAUGUUUGAUGUUCUAACGUUGGCCCCUGACCGGGGUUGCGGACAGUGUCUGGUGGGUAGUUUGACUGGGGCGGUCUCCUCCCAAAGCGUAACGGAGGAGCACGAAGGUUAGCUAAUCCUGGUCGGACAUCAGGAGGUUAGUGCAAUGGCAUAAGCUAGCUUGACUGCGAGCGUGACGGCGCGAGCAGGUGCGAAAGCAGGUCAUAGUGAUCCGGUGGUUCUGAAUGGAAGGGCCAUCGCUCAACGGAUAAAAGGUACUCCGGGGAUAACAGGCUGAUACCGCCCAAGAGUUCAUAUCGACGGCGGUGUUUGGCACCUCGAUGUCGGCUCAUCACAUCCUGGGGCUGAAGUAGGUCCCAAGGGUAUGGCUGUUCGCCAUUUAAAGUGGUACGCGAGCUGGGUUUAGAACGUCGUGAGACAGUUCGGUCCCUAUCUGCCGUGGGCGCUGGAGAAUUGAGGGGGGCUGCUCCUAGUACGAGAGGACCGGAGUGGACGCAUCACUGGUGUUCGGGUUGUCAUGCCAAUGGCACUGCCCGGUAGCUAAAUGCGGAAGAGAUAAGUGCUGAAAGCAUCUAAGCACGAAACUUGCCCCGAGAUGAGUUCUCCCUGAGACUUUAAGUCUCCUGAAGGAACGUU
Molecule: ribosomal RNA, 2816 nt
Filed under: Klebsiella pneumoniae
Lineage: Bacteria; Pseudomonadati; Pseudomonadota; Gammaproteobacteria; Enterobacterales; Enterobacteriaceae
Description: partial 23S ribosomal RNA
Rfam family: Bacterial large subunit ribosomal RNA
Source: RNAcentral